GAUGAACGCUGGCGGCGUGCCUAAUACAUGCAAGUCGAGCGAACGGACGAGAAGCUUGCUUCUCUGAUGUUAGCGGCGGACGGGUGAGUAACACGUGGAUAACCUACCUAUAAGACUGGGAUAACUUCGGGAAACCGGAGCUAAUACCGGAUAAUAUUUUGAACCGCAUGGUUCAAAAGUGAAAGACGGUCUUGCUGUCACUUAUAGAUGGAUCCGCGCUGCAUUAGCUAGUUGGUAAGGUAACGGCUUACCAAGGCAACGAUGCAUAGCCGACCUGAGAGGGUGAUCGGCCACACUGGAACUGAGACACGGUCCAGACUCCUACGGGAGGCAGCAGUAGGGAAUCUUCCGCAAUGGGCGAAAGCCUGACGGAGCAACGCCGCGUGAGUGAUGAAGGUCUUCGGAUCGUAAAACUCUGUUAUUAGGGAAGAACAUAUGUGUAAGUAACUGUGCACAUCUUGACGGUACCUAAUCAGAAAGCCACGGCUAACUACGUGCCAGCAGCCGCGGUAAUACGUAGGUGGCAAGCGUUAUCCGGAAUUAUUGGGCGUAAAGCGCGCGUAGGCGGUUUUUUAAGUCUGAUGUGAAAGCCCACGGCUCAACCGUGGAGGGUCAUUGGAAACUGGAAAACUUGAGUGCAGAAGAGGAAAGUGGAAUUCCAUGUGUAGCGGUGAAAUGCGCAGAGAUAUGGAGGAACACCAGUGGCGAAGGCGACUUUCUGGUCUGUAACUGACGCUGAUGUGCGAAAGCGUGGGGAUCAAACAGGAUUAGAUACCCUGGUAGUCCACGCCGUAAACGAUGGGUGCUAAGUGUUAGGGGGUUUCCGCCCCUUAGUGCUGCAGCUAACGCAUUAAGCACUCCGCCUGGGGAGUACGACCGCAAGGUUGAAACUCAAAGGAAUUGACGGGGACCCGCACAAGCGGUGGAGCAUGUGGUUUAAUUCGAAGCAACGCGAAGAACCUUACCAAAUCUUGACAUCCUUUGACAACUCUAGAGAUAGAGCCUUCCCCUUCGGGGGACAAAGUGACAGGUGGUGCAUGGUUGUCGUCAGCUCGUGUCGUGAGAUGUUGGGUUAAGUCCCGCAACGAGCGCAACCCUUAAGCUUAGUUGCCAUCAUUAAGUUGGGCACUCUAAGUUGACUGCCGGUGACAAACCGGAGGAAGGUGGGGAUGACGUCAAAUCAUCAUGCCCCUUAUGAUUUGGGCUACACACGUGCUACAAUGGACAAUACAAAGGGUAGCGAAACCGCGAGGUCAAGCAAAUCCCAUAAAGUUGUUCUCAGUUCGGAUUGUAGUCUGCAACUCGACUACAUGAAGCUGGAAUCGCUAGUAAUCGUAGAUCAGCAUGCUACGGUGAAUACGUUCCCGGGUCU
This 1372-nucleotide ribosomal RNA is filed under the name uncultured bacterium. RNAcentral's name for it is "bacterial SSU rRNA". It matches the Rfam family "Bacterial small subunit ribosomal RNA", at positions 28 to 1381 of the family's 1533-position model. The record is from RNAcentral.